This is a non-coding RNA of Pelobates cultripes (western spadefoot toad), 537 nucleotides long. The record is from the annotation of a GenBank genome assembly. NCBI's taxonomy places the organism in Eukaryota, Metazoa, Chordata, Amphibia, Anura, Pelobatidae.
UGCUAUUUACCACUUUUUAUAACCAUGAGAGUCAAAAGCCUUUAUUGUCUUAAGUUUAUUUGGUAUCCAAACAUCACAACUGCAGCAUUGUAAUCUUGGAUCAGAGAUGAAGAUCCAAGAUGGAUGAUGACAUAGAGGGACACUAUAAACACCCAGACCACUUCAUCUCAGUAAAGUGGCCUGGGUGCAGUGACCCUGUCAUCUUAGCCUUUUAGUUUAGAGAAAUUGCAAUAUUUACAUUGCAGGGUUAUGACUCUCAGACAGACAUCUGGACAGUCACUAGAGGUGCUUCCUGCAUUUUCAAAGGGUUUAACUCUGUGAAAUGAUGCUUUUGCAUUAGGACGUCUAGCAUCUUGCAAAAUACCCAUAGGAAAGUUUUGAUCUAACCUGAUUGCACAGCCUUCCUAAAUACUUUGGAUGCCGCUUCAGAAGCAGGACUUAGAUUUAAGGACACAAUUUUUGAAUUUUUUUGCUGUUUGUAUUCAACCGCAAUUUGCAUUGGUUUUUUUUCAACAGUUUUUUUUAAAGGAGAAAAUG